RNAcentral lists this unclassified non-coding RNA (294 nucleotides) under uncultured fungus. Its description in RNAcentral is "sequence contains ITS2". The stretch from base 1 to 52 matches the Rfam family "5.8S ribosomal RNA", at positions 103 to 154 of the family's 154-position model. The record is from RNAcentral. Lineage: Eukaryota; Fungi.
AACGCACCUUGCGCUCCUUGGUAUUCCGAGGAGCAUGCCUGUUUGAGUGUCAUUAAAUUCUCAACCUCUCUAGUUUUUUGACUAGUAGAUGGCUUGGAUUUGGGAGUAAUUUUGCAGGCUUUCACAAGUCAGCUCUCCUUAAAUGUAUUAGCCGGUGCCCUCUAACCGUCUAUUGGUGUGAUAAUUAUCUACGCCGUGGACUAUUAGACUUUGGUUGCACUGCUUAUAAUCGUCCUUUGGACAAUCUAAUGACAUUUUGACCUCAAAUCAGGUAGGACUACCCGCUGAACUUAA